Molecule: long non-coding RNA, 343 nt
Organism: Armigeres subalbatus
Lineage: Eukaryota; Metazoa; Arthropoda; Insecta; Diptera; Culicidae
Exons: 3
Source: RefSeq, a predicted model, not a curated record
CUGCAUUGAGUAUGCGUUUGGUUUUUGAUGGACUGAAAUAUUAAUUUUCCGUGUUUGUUUAUAGUCAGAAAAAUACUGUUGCGAUGGAACCAGAUUUUUCCGUAAAAGUUUUCGUAUGCAGUUUCUCGCACCGAAAAAAACAGGUCCUGAGUAGGAGAAUCGAGAUGAUCGCAAUCUCGAGAGGACUUGGUUCGGAAUAUUUUUAAUCAUUUUUAUAAAUUAAUUGUCCAUACUACAUCCUCACAAUGGGGGCAGCUUCCUGGAGACCAUACAUCCCAUAAUAUGGAUUUUUGUUUGCAGACGUCACAUUAAGUUCACAUUAUGUUAACAAUAAAUCGUAAAA